This 496-nucleotide ribosomal RNA is filed under the name uncultured bacterium. RNAcentral's name for it is "partial 16S ribosomal RNA". It matches the Rfam family "Bacterial small subunit ribosomal RNA", at positions 28 to 507 of the family's 1533-position model. The record is from RNAcentral.
GAUGAACGCUGGCGGCGUGCCUAAUACAUGCAAGUCGAGCGAACGGACGAGAAGCUUGCUUUUCUGAUGUUAGCGGCGGACGGGUGAGUAACACGUGGAUAACCUACCUAUAAGACUGGGAUAACUUCGGGAAACCGGAGCUAAUACCGGAUAAUAUUUUGAACCGCAUGGUUCAAAAGUGAAAGACGGUCUUGCUGUCACUUAUAGAUGGAUCCGCGCUGCAUUAGCUAGUUGGUAAGGUAACGGUUACCAAGGCAACGAUGCAUAGCCGACCUGAGAGGGUGAUCGGCCGCACUGGAACUGAGACACGGUCCAGACUCCUACGGGAGGCAGCAGUAGGGAAUCUUCCGCAAUGGGCGAAAGCCUGACGGAGCAGCGCCGCGUAAGUGAUGAAGGUCUUCGGAUCAUAAAACUCUGUUAUUAGGGAAGAACAUAUGUGUAAGUAACUGUGCACAUCUUGACGGUACCUAAUCAGAAAGCCACGGCUAACUACGUG